Molecule: ribosomal RNA, 406 nt
Filed under: uncultured bacterium
Lineage: Bacteria
Description: partial 16S ribosomal RNA
Rfam family: Bacterial small subunit ribosomal RNA
Source: RNAcentral
AUUGAACGCUGGCGGCAGGCCUAACACAUGCAAGUCGAGCGAGCGGCGGACGGGUGAGUAAUGUCUGGGAAACUGCCUGAUGGAGGGGGAUAACUACUGGAAACGGUAGCUAAUACCGCAUACCAUCAGAUGUGCCCAGAUGGGAUGAGCUAGGAGGUGGGGUAAAGGCCUACCAAGGCGACGCUCCGUAACUGGUCUGAGAGGAUGAUCAGUCACACUGGAGCGUAGACACGGUCCAGGCUCCUACGGGAGGCAGCAGUGGGGAAGAUUGGGCAAUGGGCGAAAGCCUGAGCCAGCCAUGCCGAGUGUGUGAAGAAGGUCUUCGGAUUGUAAAGCACUUUAGGUUGGGAGGCGUUACCAACAGAAGAAGCACCGGCUAACUUCGUGCCAGCAGCCGCGGUAAUAC